Molecule: ribosomal RNA, 484 nt
Filed under: uncultured bacterium
Lineage: Bacteria
Description: partial 16S ribosomal RNA
Rfam family: Bacterial small subunit ribosomal RNA
Source: RNAcentral
AUUGAACGCUGGCGGCAGGCCUAACACAUGCAAGUCGAGCGGAUGAAGGGAGCUUGCUCCUGGAUUCAGCGGCGGACGGGUGAGUAAUGCCUAGGAAUCUGCCUGGUAGUGGGGGAUAACGUCCGGAAACGGGCGCUAAUACCGCAUACGUCCUGAGGGAGAAAGUGGGGGAUCUUCGGACCUCACGCUAUCAGAUGAGCCUAGGUCGGAUUAGCUAGUUGGUGGGGUAAAGGCCUACCAAGGCGACGAUCCGUAACUGGUCUGAGAGGAUGAGCAGUCACACUGGAACUGAGACACAGUCCAGUCUCCUACGGGAGGCACCCGUGGGGAUUAUUGGAGCAUGGGCGAAAGCCUGAUCCCGCCAGGCCGCGGGUGUGUAGAAGGUCUUCGGAUUGUAAAGCACUUUAAGUUGGGAGGAAGGGCAGUACGUUUAUGCCUUGCUGUUUUGACGUUACCAACAGAAUAAGCCCUCGCUAACUUCGUG